ACAGAGAAGAGAAUUGCCGCUGAAAGCACACCAGCUCAUGUGUGAUUGAUUUCAUUGAAACAGGUACGAGAAUAGCUGUUAUGUUACUUGUUUUGUUCUGUAAUUAGUUUUCUGGAUGCUUUUUGUUUAUUCUGUCGCUAAAAUGUUACAUUUAUUUGAAGGUAUUUUCCUAAGGAUUAUAUUUGCAUUAAUAUUUAUUUGUUUUGAUUUAUUCUGAUCGAUAUGUUUUAUAAUUGCUUCUUUUGUAAGACAUUGGUUGUUUUCUUUUCAUAUUUUUGUACAAGUAUAUUUUAUAUGAGAGCUGUAAUCUGUAUGGCCAGAGAGAGAGGAGAGUUGCCGCUGAAAGCACACCAGCUCAUGUGUGAUUGAUUUCGUUCAAACAGACAUUAAAAGUGAUCCAGACCCGGCCCUGAACUUCAUUUUCUGUGACACAACGCAGAGAAGAAAAACCAAACCGGUCACAUCAGCUUACACAUCAAAGUCUGGGUGAAAACUGCGUCAGGAAAACACAAUGUAAGAUGGAGGAAGAAGACGGGGGAAAAGGAAGAGGAGGAGGAGGAGGGACUGGGAGGAGAAGAGGGGAAAGAUGGUCGUGGGCCAAUCCCUGCUCACUCUCUGUAACUUGGUUGAUUACGAUCAAUUUCCCUGGUAUCGAUGGCCUCCCUGGCCCUGAGCUACACUCCCUCCUGCACUUUGCAUGGUACGUGCUUUGUGUACCAUGACAUGGCUAGCACUCCACCACAUCUCCCCCAACCCCUGGCUCUACCACCUGCAAUCCUCUCAUCUUGGCCUUGAGAAAUAUCAACAGCUGGGUAACCGUGUUCUGGAGGAGGGGUAUAAGCAGGCAUUUGAAAAACACAAAAUGUUUCCACUUCAUGUUCUCAGACUCAGUUUCAAAUCUGAGCUAAUGCAGUUUUUUUUCUUUUUUUUUUCUUUUUUAACUGACUGGCUUGUGAGCCUGAUAGGUGUAAAAAGUUUGGGUGGUGUUACUGCAGCAGAAAAGAGAAAGGGGGAUUUUUUUUUCCUGCUCUGUCAGGGCUGCUGAAGGAUUGAGUGCUCGACGAAAAACUCGGAGAGACAAGGUGGAAAUGAUGAGAUGAAGUUUGGUCACGACGUGCUGGACCGAAAGCCCCAAAUCUGUAUUUGUUCUGGGGAAUGUGAAACUGUCCUCCCUCCGGCAUGUGCGAGGGCGCAUCCCGCUCAGUCUAUCUCUGCACACUUGGCACGCUCUAUCCGAAUUAAUUGCAUCUCUGCGAGGGAGAGAGUGAGAUGGAUAGAGAGAGAGGGAGAGAGGUUUAGUCCUUCUGUCGGGCUGGUCUUGCUACAAGGGGAGUCAUUUAAAAUUCUGCCUCCCAUGUGGCUCCUGGUUUUCACUUUAAUGACCCCCUCCUCUCCCCCUGUUUUUUUACCCCAUGACUUUCCUGGAUUUGGAGCUCCAAGCUCAGUGUCCUAUGGCUGCAUGGCGCUUGUGCACAUCUUAUUUAUGCAAUUAUACAAAUUAUGCUGUUGUUGUUGACUGACAUCAAGGCCAUUUCUGCCAAAUUACACUUUGCACCUUUGUCUUUCCGUCUUUGCCUCUUUCUUGGCUUCUCUUUGUCGCAAGAUAAAAACACCAUCCUCGACAGUCAACCAUUGCUGCCAUCUUUUCUCUGGGAAACCUCUGCUUACACUUGUUGUCAAGCUGAGCAACCUCUGAAUUAAUCUUUGCAUCAGACUGUCUUGAACGAGAAGUAAUGCUUUGUAUUGGAAAAAGACUGGAAUAUUUCCUUCACAGUGUGAAAACACAUGUCAACCAGCUAAUGAAUCAUCAAAUCGGGAUCACAGCAAAUAUACUGACCUUUCUGAUGAUUUUCAAGGUUCAACUCUACAUAUGGAAGUGUCUGGGUGUGUGUUUGUGUGUAGCAGAAGCAGCUGAAGGCCCUGAGAGCGUUAACUGCCGUAGUGUUUACUGGCGCUACUGUGAGGCUUCGUAGGAGACACGAUAGGAAAUGGCCUCAAUAAGAUAAAGCUGAGCUUUCUGCAUGGUUCUCUGCAGGGGUCUCUGCCUCUCACUCACACACACACACACACACACACACACACACACACACACACACACACACACACAAACACACACACACACACGUAUAUAUAUCUCUACGUGUGAGGUGGGGGUAGAGUGGUGUGGGCUGUAGGACAGCGACUGCCCACAAGGUCAGAGUAGGCAGUGUAUAUGGUUGUUUUUCUCUGUUUUUUUCUCUCUCUCAGCGGUGGAGCUGUGUGCUGCCUCCCCGGGUCUCUCCUCUAUCUGGUCAAUACCACCACGCAGCUUCUGACGAUCAAUGGAGGGUCAAUACCUCUCAGACGCCUGCCUCUUUGUGCUCUCACUGAUUUAGCUACCACCUACCCAGGCCAUCUUUUUUUUUUUUUUUUUUUUUUACUUUUUCUUUUUCACUCCCUGUUUUUUAUGACCCUAGCUCUCACUUAAAUACAUAAACCUCCUGAAACUGAAGAGACACUGCAGUAAAUCUGAGUGGCAGAGCGCAUGUUUUCUGCCAAAUGGCAUAAACCUUAGCCCCUAAUAAGGCAUGCACAUAACUGUGGUGGCCUUUGUCUGCAGAAAUGUCUUUUAAUCUUUUAGUGAGCUGAAAGAAAAACACAAAAUCCAGUCAUAUGAGAAGAACUAUCAUUCACACUAUCAUUUUGAAUUCCAUCUCAACAUCAACAAUCAGCUUAACACUAUGUUAUAAAAGAUGUGUUUAUUACAAGUAUUACUUCUCCACAUUCAGGCUGACUACAUAUUGGUCUGAUUCACCUGUAGGUGGGGCGAUGUUAAGUUUAAAAAGUUCAAGCUCUGAAAAGCUCAAAAUGGAGCUUACGGCAGUUCAUACAGGACACCCAGUCAUGCAUGCUAUCAGCUGACCCAUGAGCAGGCAAGUUACAAUCAGACUGACAAUAAGUCGGUCUGUUUAAGCCGAAGUGGCCCACAGUCUUUCCUGCAGCACCUUCACACUGUUGCUGCUGAGGAGGAUCGGUUUAUGUGAAGCUUUCCUGCACCAUUCCUCCCUCUAUCUGCACUGGUUCUAAUGUUUAAUGCUCAAAAAUAAUCGUAUUUUAAUACACGGUGGUAUUCAGUGAAUCUUGGACGACUUUUGUUUGUAGCAUGUUACCAGGUAACUCUUAUUCUGUAUAAUCUGUGAAGGUUUCGAGAACCUUGCCAUUUCUUUAGCAAUGGCAAUAAAUGUGUAAAUUCUGUAUUAUUUCAUUUAAAAAUAGAGAGGCCCUUCACAGCAUUAUUGAUAAUUUUGUGGACCCUUACUCUGAAUAUAAAAAAUAAAAAUUGAAUUUAUAAAAUCUCUGUAUUUGAAUAAAGAGCUGCUAAACUGUU
Long non-coding RNA from Amphiprion ocellaris (clown anemonefish), 3367 nucleotides. RefSeq lists it as uncharacterized. The transcript is spliced from 2 exons. NCBI's taxonomy places the organism in Eukaryota, Metazoa, Chordata, Actinopteri, Pomacentridae. The record is from RefSeq and is a predicted model, not a curated record.